UACGGAGGGUGCAAGCGUUGUUCGGAAUUAUUGGGCGUAAAGCGCGUGUAGGCGGUUUUCUAAGUCUGAUGUGAAAUCCCAGGGCUUAACCCUGGAACUGCAUUGGAUACUGGAUAACUAGAGGGCGAGAGAGGAUGGUGGAAUUCCUGGUGUAGGGGUGAAAUCCGUAGAUAUCAGGAGGAACAUCAGUGGCGAAGGCGGCCAUCUGGCUCGCACCUGACGCUGAGACGCGAAAGCGUGGGGAGCAAACAGG
RNAcentral lists this ribosomal RNA (253 nucleotides) under uncultured bacterium. Its description in RNAcentral is "partial 16S ribosomal RNA". It matches the Rfam family "Bacterial small subunit ribosomal RNA", at positions 524 to 776 of the family's 1533-position model. The record is from RNAcentral.